GGCAGUGUGGUGUAGUGGCUAGAGCACUAAACUGGGAAUCAAGAGAACUGGAUUCUAUUCCUGGCUCUGCCA
Molecule: transfer RNA, 72 nt
Filed under: Chelonia mydas (Green sea turtle)
Lineage: Eukaryota; Metazoa; Chordata; Testudines; Cheloniidae
Rfam family: tRNA
About the family: Transfer RNA (tRNA) molecules are approximately 80 nucleotides in length. Their secondary structure includes four short double-helical elements and three loops (D, anti-codon, and T loops). Further hydrogen bonds mediate the characteristic L-shaped molecular structure. tRNAs have two regions of fundamental functional importance: the anti-codon, which is responsible for specific mRNA codon recognition, and the 3' end, to which the tRNAs corresponding amino acid is attached (by aminoacyl-tRNA synthetases). tRNAs cope with the degeneracy of the genetic code in two manners: having more than one tRNA (with a specific anti-codon) for a particular amino acid; and 'wobble' base-pairing, i.e. permitting non-standard base-pairing at the 3rd anti-codon position.
Source: Rfam by way of RNAcentral